RNAcentral lists this ribosomal RNA (119 nucleotides) under Oncorhynchus mykiss (rainbow trout). The record is from RNAcentral. Lineage: Eukaryota; Metazoa; Chordata; Actinopteri; Salmoniformes; Salmonidae.
GCUUACGGCCACACCGGCCUGAGUACGCCUGAUCUCGUUCCGAUCUCGGAAGCUAAGCAGGUCGGGCCUGGUUAGUACUUGGAUGGGAGACCGCCUGGGAAUACCAGGUGCUGUAAGCU